UACAGAGGUCUCAAGCGUUGUUCGGAUUCAUUGGGCGUAAAGGGUGCGUAGGCGGCGCGGUAAGUCGGGUGUGAAAUCUCGGAGCUUAACUCCGAAACUGCAUUCGAUACUGCCGUGCUUGAGGACUGGAGAGGAGACUGGAAUUUACGGUGUAGCGGUGAAAUGCGUAGAUAUCGUAAGGAAGACCAGUGACGAAGGCGGGUCUCUGGACAGUUCCUGACGCUGAGGCACGAAGGUCAGGGGAGCAAACGGG
Molecule: ribosomal RNA, 253 nt
Filed under: uncultured bacterium
Lineage: Bacteria
Description: partial 16S ribosomal RNA
Rfam family: Bacterial small subunit ribosomal RNA
Source: RNAcentral